GCGCGAGUGGUGAAAUUGGCAGACACGCUAGAUUUAGGCUCUAGUGCCUUCGGCAUAAGGGUUCGAGUCCCUUCCCGCGCACCA
RNAcentral lists this transfer RNA (84 nucleotides) under Mycoplasma mobile 163K. RNAcentral's name for it is "tRNA-Leu (TAG) (tRNA-Leu-TAG-1-1)". It matches the Rfam family "tRNA". Rfam says of the family: Transfer RNA (tRNA) molecules are approximately 80 nucleotides in length. Lineage: Bacteria; Bacillati; Mycoplasmatota; Mycoplasmoidales; Metamycoplasmataceae. The record is from RNAcentral.